Molecule: ribosomal RNA, 440 nt
Filed under: uncultured bacterium
Lineage: Bacteria
Description: partial 16S ribosomal RNA
Rfam family: Bacterial small subunit ribosomal RNA
Source: RNAcentral
CCUACGGGAGGCAGCAGUAGGGAAUUUUCGUCAAUGGGCGCAAGCCUGAACGAGCGAUGCCGCGUGAGUGAAGAAGGCCUUCGGGUCGUAAAGCUCUAUCAGCAGGGAAGAAAAUGACGGUACCUGAGUAAGAAGCCCCGGCUAACUACGUGCCAGCAGCCGCGGUAAUACGUAGGGGGCACGCGUUAUCCGGAUUUACUGGGCGUAAAGCGCUCGUAGGCGGUAUGUCAAGUCAAGGGUGAAAUCCCCGCGCUCAACGUGGGAACUGCCUUUGAAACUGGCAAACUGGAGUGUGUGAGAGGAUAGUGGAAUUCCAGGUGUAGGAGUGAAAUCCGUAGAUAUCUGGAGGAACAUCAGUGGCGAAGGCGACUAUCUGGCACAUAACUGACGCUGAGGAGCGAAAGCGUGGGUAGCAAACAGGAUUAGAUACCCUUGUAGUC